CCACAACUGCUUCUUUCCCUUCUCCUCUUCCUUCUCCUUCCUUUCUUCUUCCCUUCUCCUCCCCGGCAUCACACACACCCUCUCCUUUGUUUCCUCUGCAGGAAACAGAGGUAUCACAACCUCUUCUCCUGCUUCCUCUUCUUCUUCUCUUCCUCUUCUUCUUCUUCUCCUCUUCUCCUGCCCGACACCCCACACCUCUCCUCUGUUUCCACCUGCAGGAAACAGAGGUGCUGCAGCCCUAGCUGCUGCCACCUCUCGCUCCUCUCCCUCUUCCCUCUCUUUUCCCUCUUCUUCUCCUUCUCUUCUUCUCUUCUUCCCUUUUCCUCCCCAACGCCACACAC
This 341-nucleotide long non-coding RNA is filed under the name Musa acuminata (dwarf banana). RNAcentral's name for it is "long non-coding RNA (MACU_LNC011537)". The record is from RNAcentral. Lineage: Eukaryota; Viridiplantae; Streptophyta; Magnoliopsida; Zingiberales; Musaceae.